This 339-nucleotide ribosomal RNA is filed under the name uncultured Prevotella sp. RNAcentral's name for it is "bacterial SSU rRNA". It matches the Rfam family "Bacterial small subunit ribosomal RNA", at positions 354 to 688 of the family's 1533-position model. Lineage: Bacteria; Pseudomonadati; Bacteroidota; Bacteroidia; Bacteroidales; Prevotellaceae. The record is from RNAcentral.
CGAGGGAAUAUUGGGUCAAUGGGCGAGAGCCUGAACCAGCCAAGUAGCGUGCAGGAUGACGGCCCUAUGGGUUGUAAACUGCUUUUAUGCGGGGAUAACGUGCACCACGUGUGGUGUAUUGCAGGUACCGCAUGAAUAAGGACCGGCUAAUUCCGUGCCAGCAGCCGCGGUAAUACGGAAGGUCCGGGCGUUAUCCGGAUUUAUUGGGUUUAAAGGGAGCGUAGGCCGCUGUUUAAGCGUGUUGUGAAAAACCGGGGCUCAACUCCGGUCGUGCAGCGCGAACUGGACGGCUUGAGUGCGCGGUAAGUGGGCGGAAUUUGUGGUGUAGCGGUGAAAGUG